GUGCCUGGCCUCUUUUACUUUUUAAUAAAGCCUUUGUGGAGGGCCCAGCCUGUCUCAUCAGCACUGGGACAAACAAGGGUUUUCAGCCCUUGGCUUCUGAAUGCUAGGGCAGAAUAUUCCAGAACACAUCUGAGGCCAGCACAACGCUUGCAGCAAGAAGAAGGAUGAAGAUGAAAGGCAGAAGGAAAGAAAUAUCACCUGAAGUGAAAGACUUUGUGCCCAUCUGCAAAGGCUCAGUGAAUUCUAAGAUAUCUCAGAAAUUGCCAAACUCAAUGUUACUUAUUUUCAUGACAAGGCGUCGGAAACACAAAGAUGUUAAUGCACUUAUGUAAAAUUCAGUGGUGAGAUCAUGGUGAAGUGAAGAGUGGAAUCUGUGUCUCCUGGCUCUUAGUGUUCUUUCAAUGUGUCCAUUACUAAUGUGUGUGUGUGUAAAACACCUUUAUGUUUGUGGCUAAGAUAACCACAUGGGGGCUGGAAGGGCUUUGAUCUCCAGUCUCAAAUCAUCCCGAAGAAACCACAGGGCAUUUUAACUGGCUCUCCUUGUCUCAUUCUCUCUGCGACAAAUUCGUACAAAAGUUGUUUGCCCCUGACUGGUCCAGCCCGUCUGCAUCCCUGGUCCUGAAGCUGCAUACGCUGGGUUGCCUGUGAAUCUGUCUCACCAUGAAAGGCCUUCCUGUGUGUGCUCACCUCCACGCCAGUGACUCAGCUAGAACCUUUUUACCUCAUCAUUGGAGGUGCAGAUUUGCCACUUAAUAACGAGUCUACUCCCUAGUUGAUGCUGGUUAGAUGUUCGAGAAACCGUCAGUGAAGACUGGAAGAUGUCACCAAAUUCCAAGUCAUGCACCUAUGUGGCGCUGGGUAGAUAAAGCAGAAUGUCUCUGAGCAACACCAUUCUACCAUCAGUGCUGAAUCCUCCUUGUAGGAUCCAUCUCCAGAGGAGCGAUCAAUCUCAGUUCCUUCAUGACGCUAUUCCAUCAAGGUGAAACUCCAUGCAUUUCCUCAGAUGAGGACUCUGAUAGACCUAACAGAUGCUGUGUCCAUCCUGAGAUAACGAUGUUCGUGAGGAUGGACCCCACAUCACCCCACACGACAGACUCAUGUAACAGACUCACUCUCCCACCUGUGGCCGGGGCAUCUGGAUGCUUGGAUUGGCAGCCUCAUCAGGACCUCAUAAAGAGAAGAAGGGAAUUAUCCUCCCAAAAAGGAGUUCUCUUAUGAGAAGAUGGGAGGAAGGUGCCUGGGCACUCAGAAACAACAGAUGGCUACAAAAACCACCAAAUAACAGUUGUCAAUUGAAUUCUACAGCCAAUGGAAAAGCUGUGAACGGACAAGAUGCAGUUGACUAAACAUUAACCUAAGCAUAAAGUCACAUAAAAGCACCUAAAAGCAACAGGCAGACUUGGUUUUAAUGCAGCUGGUGGAGCCUCUUCUCAGCCCAAUAACUAGAGGGAACGAAGGGGUCUUCAUCGGUCUUAUUGGGAGGAAGCACCUGUUUCUGCACAUUUUGUUGAUCCUCAUAUCUGCCACUUUCUGCUCCUAGUGACCCGCUAGUCACAGAGAAUUAUCCACUUCUGUCCGAAAUUUCUCUUAUAUAAUUGUCAGUUGUUACAUCUUCAACAGUUUAAAUGGUAAUCAUGCCUGUUUCUCUUUGCUUCUGUACAGAUCUCCAGGUCUGAAUAAAAUCUGGGAACCAACGUUCCCCUAACCCUGA
Long non-coding RNA from Piliocolobus tephrosceles (Ugandan red Colobus), 1711 nucleotides. NCBI's taxonomy places the organism in Eukaryota, Metazoa, Chordata, Mammalia, Primates, Cercopithecidae. The record is from Ensembl.